Molecule: unclassified non-coding RNA, 236 nt
Filed under: plant metagenome
Description: partial contains small subunit ribosomal RNA, internal transcribed spacer 1, and 5.8S ribosomal RNA
Source: RNAcentral
UUUCCGUAGGUGAACCUGCGGAAGGAUCAUUACUGAGUGAGGGCCCCUCGGGGUCCAACCUCCCACCCGUGUUUAACGAACCUUGUUGCUUCGGCGGGCCUGCCUCACGGCCGCCGGGGGGCAUUUGCCCCCGGGCCCGCGCCCGCCGAAGCCACCUGUGAACGCUGUCUGAAGUAUGCAGUCUGAGACAAUUAUUAAAUUAAUUAAAACUUUCAACAACGGAUCUCUUGGUUCCG